Molecule: ribosomal RNA, 440 nt
Filed under: uncultured bacterium
Lineage: Bacteria
Description: partial 16S ribosomal RNA
Rfam family: Bacterial small subunit ribosomal RNA
Source: RNAcentral
CCUACGGGAGGCAGCAGUGGGGAAUAUUGCACAAUGGGGGAAACCCUGAUGCAGCGACGCCGCGUGAGUGAAGAAGUAUCUCGGUACGUAAAGCUCUAUCAGCAGGGAAGAAAAUGACGGUACCUGACUAAGAAGCCCCGGCUAACUACGUGCCAGCAGCCGCGGUAAUACGUAGGGGGCAAGCGUUAUCCGGAUUUACUGGGUGUAAAGGGAGCGUAGGCGGCAGUGCAAGUCUGAAGUGAAAGCCCGGGGCUCAACCCCGGGACUGCUUUGGAAACUGUGUGGCUGGAGUGCAGGAGGGGUAAGCGGAAUUCCUAGUGUAGCGGUGAAAUGCGUAGAUAUUAGGAGGAACACCAGUGGCGAAGGCGGCUUACUGGACUGUAAAUGACGUUGAGGCUCGAAAGCGUGGGGAGCAAACAGGAUUAGAUACCCCAGUAGUC